This 445-nucleotide ribosomal RNA is filed under the name uncultured bacterium. RNAcentral describes it as "partial 16S ribosomal RNA". It matches the Rfam family "Bacterial small subunit ribosomal RNA", at positions 354 to 796 of the family's 1533-position model. The record is from RNAcentral.
GUGAGGAAUAUUGCGCAAUGGAGGCAACUCUGACGCAGCCAUGCCGCGUGCAGGAAGAAGGCGCUACGCGUUGUAAACUGCUUUUAACCGGGAAGAAACCCCAGGACGUGUCCUGGGUUGACGGUACCGGAGGAAUAAGCACCGGCUAACUUCGUGCCAGCAGCCGCGGUAAUACGAAGGGUGCAAGCAUUAUCCGGAUUCAUUGGGUUUAAAGGGUGCGUAGGCGGAGCGUUAAGUCAGUGGUGAAAUCCUGCAGCUUAACUGUAGACUUGCCAUUGAUACUGGCGCUCUUGAGUGCGCUUGAAGUGGGCGGAAUGUGCCGUGUAGCGGUGAAAUGCUUAGAUAUGGCACAGAACACCAAUUGCGAAGGCAGCUCACUAAGGCGAUACUGACGCUGAGGCACGAAAGCGUGGGGAUCGAACAGGAUUAGAUACCCCAGUAGUCC